UGUUAACGAAACAUAUUUUAGG
Molecule: non-coding RNA, 22 nt
Filed under: Arabidopsis thaliana (thale cress)
Lineage: Eukaryota; Viridiplantae; Streptophyta; Magnoliopsida; Brassicales; Brassicaceae
Source: RNAcentral